GGAAGGGACCGGAGGGGAAAGUGCCCCCUGGAGACUGUCCGGCCCCAGACCUAUUUCUUCCCCAGUUCUCAAGGAUAGAUUUAAAAUAUCCCGGGUGCGGUGCUGUAGUAGCCAUGGUGAGCCCAGGAUAUUCGAGGCUGCCCCCGUGAUUUAUAUACAAAUGUUCCGUGUUAUUUUCCAUCCCAUUCCUUAUGGAUCUGAACACGUUCGCUUUUCUGCUGGCCGCUGUGCAGUGAGUGGAGCUUUGCAUUGAUCUGUCUACAGCAGUGCUUCCCAACCUUUUUGUGGCCAGUAGCACAUUCAGGUUUUCAGAAGAGUGUGGCGGGCUGCAGCCCUGGAGAAGCUGGAGAAAAGCUGCAGCCCCGCGCCUGCCAGGGACAG
Molecule: long non-coding RNA, 381 nt
Organism: Mauremys reevesii (Reeves's turtle)
Lineage: Eukaryota; Metazoa; Chordata; Testudines; Geoemydidae
Exons: 3
Source: RefSeq, a predicted model, not a curated record